Molecule: ribosomal RNA, 384 nt
Filed under: uncultured bacterium
Lineage: Bacteria
Description: bacterial SSU rRNA
Rfam family: Bacterial small subunit ribosomal RNA
Source: RNAcentral
CGAAAGCCUGACGGAGCAAUACCGCGUGAGGGAAGAAGGCUCUUGGGUCGUAAACCUCUUUUAUCAGGGAAGAAUGACGGUACCUGAAGAAUCAGCCUCGGCUAACUCCGUGCCAGCAGCCGCGGUAAUACGGAGGAGGCAAGCGUUAUCCGGAAUUAUUGGGCGUAAAGCGUCCGCAGGUGGCUUAUCAAGUCUGCUGUCAAAGAGUGGGGCUUAACCCCAUAAAGGCAGUGGAAACUGAGAAGCUAGAGUGCCGUAGGGGUAGAGGGAAUUCCCGGUGUAGCGGUGAAAUGCGUAGAGAUCGGGAAGAACAUCGGUGGCGAAAGCGCUCUACUGGACGGCAACUGACACUCAGGGACGAAAGCUAGGGGAGCGAAUGGGAUU